RNAcentral lists this long non-coding RNA (1053 nucleotides) under Zostera marina. RNAcentral's name for it is "long non-coding RNA (ZMAR_LNC001334)". Lineage: Eukaryota; Viridiplantae; Streptophyta; Magnoliopsida; Alismatales; Zosteraceae. The record is from RNAcentral.
GUUUCUGUCCAUGAAUAUCAGGUUGGUAAGCUGCGCUCCGUGUUGCGUUACCAGAACGUCAGUCUCGCUCAUCAGCUUCACCUGGUCGCAGAAACUGAGGUUAUCUGGACUGAUCACACCCAAUUUACAUCCACCCACUUUAUCACAUUCUUUCUUGAAUACUUCAAUGACGGCGCUAUCAUUCUUGAACGACCUCGAUCCUUUCCUCAGGAACAGAGUCAAUCCAACGGUUCUCGGCGAUCUGGAUGUGUUGCUAAUGUUACAGUGCUUUCUUGCUGACUUUCUAAUCAAAUCGUAGACCUCCCUCCUCUUCAACUUCGGCAUGCCUCCCUCGUUGUGUCGGAGAACCACCGCUUCCUCGAAACAUGUUGGGUGCCGUCGGGGUUGGGUUCUUCCAUCGUCAAACGUUUCGUAUGCGAUUCUCUUCCCGAACACAAUAUCGACGACUGACUGUACCCAUUUACCCCUGCUGGAUCGGAGUUCUCCCUUGUGAUACAAGACGAACCUAGCAGGCUCCACCUUUUUCAUAUUAUACCAACCCACAAUCGGAAGCACCGCCGACUGUCCGUGCCAUAAGUUGUUGUGACCAUAGAACGUGUCCGAUACUAUAGUCAAUCCUCCAAGCAGCUUCGCACCGUGCGGAAGACUGUCACGCCAUGCCAAAGCGUAUGAGUUCUUCGUACCGUUUGACCUGUCAUUGCCGGCGAGGCAUAGAACUCGUCCGUUGGUGUGGUUGGAUGGAAAAUGGAUGUAGAGUGGCAUGUUGUCUUCGAUUGUGUCGUUGAUCGAACUCAUGAACCACGUGUGUCCUAUUUUCUUUACGAUUAAAUCAAUCGAUAUACAUAUAAACUCUAAUAAUACAUGCAGCUAGACAGUAAUAAUAUUGAUCACUCACCGUACAUAGGUUUUCCGGCAAAUCGGAGAUCUUUAAGAGGAAGGAACUUGACCAUGUUCUGAAGUCUAGACGUUGCGUUCUCAAGUUUGCGAGCACAGUCUUUUAUUCCAACAGUCGCACUCGCAUCUGAUUCCCACGAGGCAGAUGACGACGAGGGC